UACGUAUGGUGCAAGCGUUAUCCGGAUUUACUGGGUGUAAAGGGAGCGCAGGCGGCACGGCAAGCCUGAUGUGAAAGCCCGCGGCCCAACCGCGGGACUGCAUUGGGAACUACCGGGCUGGAGUGUCGGAGAGGUAGGCGGAAUUCCUAGUGUAGCGGUGAAAUGCGUAGAUAUUAGGAGGAACACCAGUGGCGAAGGCGGCCUACUGGACGGUGACUGACGCUGAGGCUCGAAAGCGUGGGGAGCAAACAGG
This 253-nucleotide ribosomal RNA is filed under the name uncultured bacterium. Its description in RNAcentral is "partial 16S ribosomal RNA". It matches the Rfam family "Bacterial small subunit ribosomal RNA", at positions 524 to 776 of the family's 1533-position model. The record is from RNAcentral.